RNAcentral lists this ribosomal RNA (468 nucleotides) under uncultured bacterium. RNAcentral's name for it is "partial 16S ribosomal RNA". It matches the Rfam family "Bacterial small subunit ribosomal RNA", at positions 28 to 507 of the family's 1533-position model. The record is from RNAcentral.
GACGAACGCUGGCGGCGUGCUUAACACAUGCAAGUCGAACGGAAAGGCCCUGCUUUUGUGGGGUGCUCGAGUGGCGAACGGGUGAGUAACACGUGAGUAACCUGCCCUUGACUUUGGGAUAACUUCAGGAAACUGGGGCUAAUACCGGAUAGGAGCUCCUGCUGCAUGGUGGUGGUUGGAAAGUUUCGGCGGUUGGGGAUGGACUCGCGGCUUAUCAGCUUGUUGGUGGGGUAGUGGCUUACCAAGGCUUUGACGGGUAGCCGGCCUGAGAGGGUGACCGGCCACAUUGGGACUGAGGUACGGCCCAGACUCCUACGGGAGGCAGCAGUGGGGAAUAUUGCACAAUGGGCGGAAGCCUGAUGCAGCAACGCCGCGUGCGGAAUGACGGCCUUCGGGUUGUAAACCGCUUUCGCCUGUGACGAAGCGUGAGUGACGGUAAUGGGUAAAGAAGCACCGGCUAACUACGUG